GGGCGUAUAGCUCAGCUGGUUAGAGUGUCACAUUGACAUUGUGAAGGUCUGUGGUUCGAGUCCACAUACGCCCACCA
Molecule: transfer RNA, 77 nt
Filed under: Bdellovibrionales bacterium
Lineage: Bacteria; Pseudomonadati; Bdellovibrionota; Bdellovibrionia; Bdellovibrionales
Description: tRNA-Val
Rfam family: tRNA
About the family: Transfer RNA (tRNA) molecules are approximately 80 nucleotides in length.
Source: RNAcentral